ACUACGGGAGGCUGCAGUGGGGAAUAUUGCACAAUGGGGGAAACCCUGAUGCAGCAACGCCGCGUGAGUGAAGAAGGUUUUCGGAUUGGAAAGCUCUGUUAGCAGGGAAGAGGAAGGACGGUACCUGCAGAGGAAGCCACGGCUAACUACGUGCCAGCAGCCGCGGUAAUACGGCGGUGGCAAGCGUGGUUCUGAAUAACUGGGCGUAAAGGAUGCGUAGGCGGUUAAACACGUGAUAUGUUAAAUAUAUAGGCUUAACCUGUAGAAAGCAUCUAAAACUGUUUAACUAGAGUGCAGGAGAGGUAAGUUGAAUUCCUAGUGUAGCGGUGACAUGCGUAGAGAUUAGGAAGAACACCAGUGGC
This 362-nucleotide ribosomal RNA is filed under the name uncultured bacterium. RNAcentral's name for it is "partial 16S ribosomal RNA". It matches the Rfam family "Bacterial small subunit ribosomal RNA", at positions 338 to 716 of the family's 1533-position model. The record is from RNAcentral.